AUUCUAACGCAAUGAAUUGUUUAAAAAAAUGGGUAGAUAGGAACAAAAAACAUUUAGAUUUUAAUAAAUUGAAUUUUGGUGGUUUGCUAAUUUUCCUGUAAAACUUUUAUAAAAUUCAGGGAGACUCGCGCGUCCCCAAGCACACCCAGAAGGUUUUUGACGGCGACAGCCGGCAACAACCUUCUGGUUAGAACUAACAGAUUGAAAACUCUUUCUCGAGUUGGUGGUUGGUGGUGCAUGGCCGUUCUUAGUUGGUGGAGUGAUUUGUCUGGUUUAUUCCGAUAACGAGCGAGACUCUAGCCUGCUAAAUAGUCGACGCAUCUUCGGGUUCGUAUAACUUCUUAGGGGGAUAAGCGGUGUUUAGCCGCACGAGAUUGAGCGAUAACAGGUCUGUGAUGCCCUUUGAUGUCCGGGGCUGCACGCGUUCUACACUGGUGGAGUCAGCGGGUUUUUCCUAUGCCGAAAGGUAUCGGCAAACCGCUGAACUUCUUCCAUGUCCGGGAUAGGGUAUUGUAAUUAUUACCCUUAACGAGGAAUGCCUAGUAAGUGUGAGUCAUCAGCUCACGUUGAUUACGUCCCUGCCCUUUGUACGCAUCGCCCGUCGCUAUCCGGGAUUGAACUGAUUCGAGAAGAGUGGGGACUGUGGCUGCGAGGUUUUACCACUUCACAGUUGCGGAAACCAUUUUUAUCGCAUUGGUUUGAACCGGGUAAAAGUCGUAACUAGGUAGCUGUAGGUGAACCUGCAGCUGGAUCAUCG
This 757-nucleotide non-coding RNA is filed under the name Caenorhabditis japonica. Its description in RNAcentral is "Eukaryotic small subunit ribosomal RNA". It matches the Rfam family "Eukaryotic small subunit ribosomal RNA", at positions 1198 to 1831 of the family's 1831-position model. Lineage: Eukaryota; Metazoa; Nematoda; Chromadorea; Rhabditida; Rhabditidae. The record is from Rfam by way of RNAcentral.